RNAcentral lists this ribosomal RNA (567 nucleotides) under uncultured bacterium. RNAcentral's name for it is "bacterial SSU rRNA". It matches the Rfam family "Bacterial small subunit ribosomal RNA", at positions 338 to 916 of the family's 1533-position model. The record is from RNAcentral.
CCUACGGGAGGCAGCAGUGGGGAAUAUUGCACAAUGGGCGAAAGCCUGAUGCAGCGACGCCGCGUGAGGGAUGACGGCCUUCGGGUUGUAAACCUCUUUCAGCAGGGAAGAAGCGAAAGUGACGGUACCUGCAGAAGAAGCGCCGGCUAACUACGUGCCAGCAGCCGCGGUAAUACGUAGGGCGCAAGCGUUGUCCGGAAUUAUUGGGCGUAAAGAGCUCGUAGGCGGCUUGUCACGUCGGGUGUGAAAGCCCGGGGCUUAACCCCGGGUCUGCAUUCGAUACGGGCUAGCUAGAGUGUGGUAGGGGAGAUCGGAAUUCCUGGUGUAGCGGUGAAAUGCGCAGAUAUCAGGAGGAACACCGGUGGCGAAGGCGGAUCUCUGGGCCAUUACUGACGCUGAGGAGCGAAAGCGUGGGGAGCGAACAGGAUUAGAUACCCUGGUAGUCCACGCCGUAAACGGUGGGAACUAGGUGUUGGCGACAUUCCACGUCGUCGGUGCCGCAGCUAACGCAUUAAGUUCCCGCCUGGGGAGUACGGCCGCAAGGCUAAAACUCAAAGGAAUUGACGG